CGAGGAACAUGUACUAGGGUCC
This 22-nucleotide microRNA is filed under the name Ananas comosus (pineapple). RNAcentral's name for it is "microRNA s0102_c049". Lineage: Eukaryota; Viridiplantae; Streptophyta; Magnoliopsida; Poales; Bromeliaceae. The record is from RNAcentral.